UGUGGGAGCGAGCUUGCUCGCGAUGGCGUCAGCACAUUCAACAAAAAAUGUUGAUUGAAAGAUCGCUAUCGCGAGCAAGCUCGCUCCCACA
RNAcentral lists this unclassified non-coding RNA (91 nucleotides) under Pseudomonas thivervalensis. Lineage: Bacteria; Pseudomonadati; Pseudomonadota; Gammaproteobacteria; Pseudomonadales; Pseudomonadaceae. The record is from RNAcentral.